AAAAUGCAAAAAAAGUUAAUUGGUCGAAUUUUCCUAGAUCUCGGAACUUUGACCACCUAGGGUCUUGAGAUUACACCCACGGAUAGGCUAUCACUAUAUCUAUAUACAUGCAAAAUGUCGUGAAGUUUCGACGUAUAUUCUCCAACAAAUCCAACAUAGAAAAUGUUUCUGAUUUUUAGUCGAAUUUUCCUCUAUCUCGAGACCUGGACCACCUAGGGUCUUGAGAUUACACACACCUAUAGGUUUACACUAUAUCUAGAUACAUGCAAACUUUCGCGAAGAUCCGACGUCUAGGCUCCAACUAAUGCAACAAACAAAAUUUUUCUGAUUUAUCGUCCAAAUUUCCCUCCCAAAACCCUCCAAAAUCAAAUUUGGCGCGAACUAUGACGCAUAUGUAACUAACAUCUCUCAACUGCUAACUAGCGCCCACAAUAUAUAUAGUUCGACAAUAGACUUGUACAUGAGCCUUCCAGAGCCGAACGGAGGGACCCAAUUAAGAAUUUUUCGCAAAAUGCAUCAAAAAUAUUUUCGUCGGCCAAUAUCUUGGGACCCGGAGCGGAAAUUUUUCUGAUUUUUAGCUGAAUUUUCCGUAACAGACCUAAUAUUUCUUAAUUUGAAUACACAUUCGGAACAAAGCUACUAAUCUUUCAUAUUUUCCUGUCAAAUGAUGUUACCAAGGCAACAAAAAUAACAAACAAAAAGUCUAUAAAAGGGCGAGCUUCCGAACGAUUUCAUUCAUUCCUGUGUGGAAGCCUAAGGAAGAGGUAAUUGGAAAAGAAAAGGAAAAGGAAAAAAAUUGGUGAGAAUAAUUAAAAUGAAUGGAAAAGAGCUUCUAAACGACGAACGCCUGCGUGGAGAAAAUUUAAAGGCAAGUGUUUGUGAUUUUUUGGGUGAGGAAGCCUUGCAAGCCAUAGAAAAGCAAAUGCAAAUGGUUUGACAAAAGAUGUCCAAGAUAUACAAUUGCCCACAACGCAAACUUAUGCGCUGGACCAUGCCGUUUACGCUUGAUAAUGCUACUUAUUUCAAACACAAAAAAGAUUGAAGUCAGAACCAAUGCCGGAGAACGUGCAACAAAAAUAGUUAUCUACGCAGACCGUCUAAUUAAAUAAGGACAAAAUUAAAACCUGCUGCUGCCAAAUAGAAACUAUCAGUCUGCUAAAUGACCGAAGAUUUUUGAAGUGGAAACGCGUCUUUCCUUUGUUGGUGUGUGAUAAAUCUACCUUUCCUUUUUCAUUGCCAAAACCUUCAAUUGUCAGUUCGUUUCGAAAGAGAAAUAAAGAAAAAUAAUUUUUGUCAAUUGAACACAAGACGCAUUAAGUUCGUUUCGUUGUUUUUAAUCAUUCGGUGACAAUUAAACAUGAAAAACAAUAUCAAAUGCAGUGGAGUUAACGUACGUAAGACUGCUUGCCAUACCAAAAUCUGCGGCUACAAGAACAAGAACAACAACAUCAACUGUGCCAUUUAUGCUGGGUAACGGCACUGAUUCUCCGACACAAAAAUAAUUUAAGUCAUAAACAAUGCCGGUCAAAGUGCUAAAAAGAAGCAAAAGUUGUGCGGCAAUACCCCAAUUUUGAAAAACAAUGUUGUCCUGCACCAGCGGAAACGAAUAAUUAUCUACGCAGACUGCUAAAGGACAACAGAACCUGAUACUGCUGCUGCUGC
Stomoxys calcitrans (stable fly) is the source of this 1662-nucleotide RNA transcript. RefSeq lists it as uncharacterized. The transcript has 4 exons. The record is from RefSeq and is a predicted model, not a curated record. NCBI's taxonomy places the organism in Eukaryota, Metazoa, Arthropoda, Insecta, Diptera, Muscidae.